GGCAUGGUGGCCAAGUGGUAAGGCGUUGGUCAUGUAAACCGAAGAUCAUGGGUUCAAAUCCCUUUUGUGCCU
Molecule: transfer RNA, 72 nt
Filed under: Salmo salar (Atlantic salmon)
Lineage: Eukaryota; Metazoa; Chordata; Actinopteri; Salmoniformes; Salmonidae
Rfam family: tRNA
About the family: Transfer RNA (tRNA) molecules are approximately 80 nucleotides in length. Their secondary structure includes four short double-helical elements and three loops (D, anti-codon, and T loops). Further hydrogen bonds mediate the characteristic L-shaped molecular structure. tRNAs have two regions of fundamental functional importance: the anti-codon, which is responsible for specific mRNA codon recognition, and the 3' end, to which the tRNAs corresponding amino acid is attached (by aminoacyl-tRNA synthetases). tRNAs cope with the degeneracy of the genetic code in two manners: having more than one tRNA (with a specific anti-codon) for a particular amino acid; and 'wobble' base-pairing, i.e. permitting non-standard base-pairing at the 3rd anti-codon position.
Source: Rfam by way of RNAcentral